GCCCGGGUGGCGAAACUGGCAGACGCACGGGACUUAAAAUCCCGAGUCUCGAAAGAGACGUACCGGUUCGAUUCCGGUCCCGGGCACCA
RNAcentral lists this transfer RNA (89 nucleotides) under Terriglobia bacterium. RNAcentral's name for it is "tRNA-Leu". It matches the Rfam family "tRNA". Rfam says of the family: Transfer RNA (tRNA) molecules are approximately 80 nucleotides in length. The record is from RNAcentral. Lineage: Bacteria; Pseudomonadati; Acidobacteriota; Terriglobia. RNAcentral also lists the same sequence under 1 other name.